RNAcentral lists this ribosomal RNA (504 nucleotides) under uncultured bacterium. RNAcentral's name for it is "partial 16S ribosomal RNA". It matches the Rfam family "Bacterial small subunit ribosomal RNA", at positions 29 to 523 of the family's 1533-position model. The record is from RNAcentral.
AUUGAACGCUGGCGGCAGGCCUAACACAUGCAAGUCGAACGGUAGCACAGAGAGCUUGCUCUCGGGUGACGAGUGGCGGACGGGUGAGUAACGUCUGGGAAACUGCCCGAUGGAGGGGGAUAACUACUGGAAACGGUAGCUAAUACCGCAUAACGUCGCAAGACCAAAGUGGGGGACCUUCGGGCCCCACACCAUCGGAUGUGCCCAGAUGGGAUUAGCUAGUAGGUGGGGUAAUGGCUCACCUAGGCGACGGUCCCUAGCUGGUCUGAGAGGAGGACCGGCAACACUGGAACUGAGACACGGUCCAGACUCCUACGGGAGGCAGCAGUGGGGAAUAUUGCACUAUGGGCGCAAGCCUGAUGCAGCCAUGCCGCGUGUAUGAAGAAGGCCUUCGGGUUGUAAAGUACUUUCAGCGGGGAGGAAGGCGGUGAAGUUAAUAACUUCACCGAUUGACGUUACCCGCAGAAGAAGCACCGGCUAACUCCGUGCCAGCCGCCGCCGUAA